Cyprinus carpio carpio is the source of this 1301-nucleotide long non-coding RNA. Lineage: Eukaryota; Metazoa; Chordata; Actinopteri; Cypriniformes; Cyprinidae. The record is from Ensembl.
AUGAGAGUCCGAGAGAGUGAGGGCUCAGGUCAUCAGUGCUCCAUAGCGUGCAGCGUGUGGCAGCAGACAGCGGGAGACUCCGCACACAUGUGGACUUCACAUCAGCGCCAGCGGAAGGAUGAGUCGGGGAGACAGCACAGCGGCCCACUCCGAACUUACUUAAGGGCAGAAACAGGCUACAAUAUGGGACCCUUUUUCAAGGUGAACAGAAAGUAAGGUCGCCAUUUACACCCACGUACGUCUGUUCCUUAAGAGUCUUACUUAAAGAGUACUUCAACAUCUCAGCAGCCAAAAAGGGCAACCUGAAGUGGAGCUCAAUGCAGAUCACACCGUUCAAGAGCCAAGCAUCCUCUCAACUUUCUGAGCACACGAUUGUCUGUUUCAAAUCCUACAUGAAAUGGAAAGAAGCCUGUCAAUGAUCCAAAUCUAUUCAGAAGUGCCUCCUUGAUAGACUUUUCCUGAGGUACAGAGAACAUUAAAGUAUUAACAAAAGCUCAGGCUAAUACAAACACCAAUGCACUUUUUAUAAACAGGCUACAAUCAAAUAUUUCACAGUAGAUCUUUUCGCAAGCGUCUUCUAUCAACGCAUCCAGAUUAAGUGCUCUCGUGGUUCGCUAGGGCCUUCAUCACUUUAAAGCUGCUAAUCUCUGGUUCCCAACUGCAGCAAAUCCUAUUAAAAUCACCUUCAGUUUAACACUCACAUUGUUACAAAAUGCAAAACACGCAGCUUUCGCCUUACUCUGUUAAUUGAGGGUAGUGCAUCCCUGUAAAAGCGUGUCUGCGAGCAUGUUAAAUAAAUCGCGUGAAUUUCUCAACGUCUGUCAGGAGGACCUAACGCAUCUCGGAGUUUGGCAAUACAGAUCUCCGUCUAGUUCUCCCUUGGGUGCUCCCUAGGGUCCCGAACGAGGGGAAGGAAGUCUCGUCAGCCCUUCAGUGUGAAAGUGUCAGCUUCUGAGGAUUUGACUGAUUAGGUAAUAUUCCGACAUGUUCUUGUGUAAGCAACAUUUUAAAAACUCAUUUGAAGGAAUCUAUCCCCCCAUAAUUCUUCUUCCAUCCGUCACUCCUUUUCACGCAACUUUCAUCUCUAAGACCCCUUGUCACCGCUUAAGAGUCACUGGCGUUGAUGGCGUUGGCAGGCGUCAGCUUUAGCAAAGCCACUUACUGAAGGGAGCACGUCCCCGGUGGAUGUGAUGAUGUUUAAAUUGCCUGCACCUCUACCACAGCAACCGAGCAUCAGUUAUAGAGUAUGUCCUUGACAGGGCUACUCUGUCAAUCAUGAGGUAAAAACACUCUACUGUCAC